UUGCACGCUGGCGGCAUGCCUUACACAUGCAAGUCGAACGGUAACAGGUCUUCGGAUGCUGACGAGUGGCGAACGGGUGAGUAAUACAUCGGAACGUGCCCAGACGUGGGGGAUAACGAGGCGAAAGCUUUGCUAAUACCGCAUACGAUCUAAGGAUGAAAGCAGGGGACCGCAAGGCCUUGUGCGUUUGGAGCGGCCGAUGGCAGAUUAGGUAGUUGGUGGGAUAAAAGCUUACCAAGCCGACGAUCUGUAGCUGGUCUGAGAGGACGACCAGCCACACUGGGACUGAGACACGGCCCAGACUCCUACGGGAGGCAGCAGUGGGGAAUUUUGGACAAGGGGCGAAAGCCUGAUCCAGCAAUGCCGCGUGCAGGAUGAAGGCCUUCGGGUUGUAAACUGCUUUUGUACGGAACGAAAAGGCUCUGGCUAAUACCUGGGGCACAUGACGGUACCGUAAGAAUAAGCACCGGCUAACUACG
Molecule: ribosomal RNA, 479 nt
Filed under: uncultured bacterium
Lineage: Bacteria
Description: partial 16S ribosomal RNA
Rfam family: Bacterial small subunit ribosomal RNA
Source: RNAcentral